CUUGUCUCAGUGUCUGACACUGUAACCACCAAUAGUUUAUACUUAUACCCAUCUCUGUAUGCUGCAAUUCUACAUAACAAUCUGCAAUUCUAUGUUUCAUCAAGGCAUUGCAUAGCAUUAACAGAUCAAUUGGAUCAUGGGCAUUUAAGUUUUUACAUCAAGUUGCUGAAUAAGCAAGACCUUUUUUAAGGCAAGUGGGUGAAUACUUUGCGUAACCAGCUUCAGCUACAAACAUCAGCUUCACAGCCCAAUUUGUGGACAAAUGCAAAAGGUUCUCUCUUGACCAGUUAAUUGCUACUUCUGAAGCAGUUGAUGAUGAUGGUUAUCAAACAAACUAUAAUAGGGAUAUGUUCUAUCAUUUCCAUUCCCAAUAAAAAGCAUGCAGCAAACUUCUAAAUGCAAACAGAGUGAAAAAAAUGACAAGAAGCAAGAUUCUGUUUUAUUGGUUAUCAUCACAGAUUAUCUGUAAGUUAUGUUUUGACACAGAAUUUUGGGAAUGCAUCACAGACAGCAGUUUCAGGGCUAGGGGCUAUAAGGUCGACUAAGCUCUUUGUAUGUCAAUUCGUUGGCUGCUACCUGCUGGAUUUUCCCUCUUUGACUUUCUAAGAACGUACCUGCUCUUGAUUUGAAAUUUAUGCUGCGCCGCUAUUUAAUGAAUUAAUCCAGUAGGCGGAACCUGCCGAAAGAUCGGCAACGACUGUCGACUGACGGACGUGCUAUUAUUCUGCAAUACUGCUCACUUGCGUGCCAACUUUUCAUUGCCCCGAGGCAUGUGAGAGUUGAGCCUGCUCCAGCUACCCGGCCAGCAUCAUUUGUCUACACAGCCGACUGUACUACUACCCCAGCCCUCACCUAGCACGGAGUUUCUUGAGGGCGACGAGAUCAUGAUAUUGAUGAGGAGAAUAUGUUUUCGCAGUCGGACUUUGCCGCUUUGGCUCUUUGCUGGCAGCUGGCAGAGACGCCAGAUGCGGACGUUUUUAAAUGCAAGACUGAAAAUGGCAAUGUUGCGGUUUGCGCGUUACUUUCAAGAUGGCUUCUGUCAUUCGACGAGAGUCAAAAGCAACUGACAGAUCCCAGCUGAAAUGGAUCGUCCCGGUUUGUAGAAUUUGGCGUAACGCGUCUUCUACACUGCGGAGUGCGACGACCAGGGAUCGAAAGUGGCUACUUCAUCUCCUUUUCCCCCUUCUCUCGUCGUGUGCACUGUUUUUCUGUGUGGGCGGAGCUCUCAGCAGGAGGAGGUGCCUGCUCGACGGUAUUUCCAAGGCUUCAAGACCCACCCCCAGCAACGUCAACCUGCAGAAGGAAUGGCUAGUUUACAUGUCUUUCAUAAUCGAAGGUCACGGAGAUCAUUAAGUAAAACGUGUCAUGCAGUGGUGUAGAGGUUGGGUGAGAACGGGACGUGUU
Molecule: long non-coding RNA, 1404 nt
Organism: Daphnia pulicaria
Lineage: Eukaryota; Metazoa; Arthropoda; Branchiopoda; Diplostraca; Daphniidae
Exons: 10
Source: RefSeq, a predicted model, not a curated record